Molecule: long non-coding RNA, 579 nt
Organism: Salvia miltiorrhiza (redroot sage)
Lineage: Eukaryota; Viridiplantae; Streptophyta; Magnoliopsida; Lamiales; Lamiaceae
Exons: 3
Source: RefSeq, a predicted model, not a curated record
UCUUUCCAAAGAUUAGCCAAAUCCUUCUAUAUCUUGCAAAGGAUUUUCCUCUCUCUUCUCCACCCCAUUUUCGAUCUCUCUCCCUCUCCCUCAUCUCUCACUUCACUUCCACCAUUUUUCCUCCAUUGAUGAAACCUUCGAAGCUUCACCCAAGUAUGCCAAACACAUAAAUCACUACUUAAAUCCUCCAUAAACACAUCCUAUUAACUUGAAUUCAAGAGAAUCCUUGAAGGAAGGCUUCAAGACUAGAGAGAGAAAGUUUGAGUUUUGGUGAAGAACUUGAACACGAGCAGAGCAAGGAAGUAAGUAACUCCACUUUGACGGGAGUUUUUGAGUAAGGUCUUCAGGCUAAGCGAGGAGUGAGAUUGGUCUGGUGCUGGUGGGGGAUCGUUAGAUGACGUAUUUGCUUUAUCGUAUUUCCUUUUUAUCGAUAAAGUCUCGAUGUGAAGUUACCUUGUAUAUGAAUCAAGUAAUAUACUCACGGUUAUGUGUCUCCAUACAUGUAACUGGUUCACCUUUUGCUGCGAUACUCUGCAUAUUAUGUUUCCUUAUGAAAAAUAAGCUAUACCUGUUUUGUUU